UUGAACGCGAAGGACCUUACCAGGUCUUGACAUCCCGCUGACCGCUCUGGAGACAGAGCUUCCCUUCGGGGCAGCGGUGACAGGUGGUGCAUGGUUGUCGUCAGCUCGUGUCGUGAGAUGUUGGGUUAAGUCCCGCAACGAGCGCAACCCUUAUUUCUAGUUGCCAGCAUUCAGUUGGGCACUCUAGAGAGACUGCCGUCGACAAGACGGAGGAAGGCGGGGAUGACGUCAAAUCAUCAUGCCCCUUAUGACCUGGGCUACACACGUGCUACAAUGGUUGGUACAACGGGAUGCUACCUCGCGAGAGGACGCCAAUCUCUUAAAACCAAUCUCAGUUCGGAUUGUAGGCUGCAACUCGCCUACAUGAAGUCGGAAUCGCUGAGUAAUCGCGGAUCAGCAUGCCGCGGUGAAUACGUUCCCGGGUCUUGUACACACGCA
Molecule: ribosomal RNA, 438 nt
Filed under: bacterium CPTAC25
Lineage: Bacteria
Description: bacterial SSU rRNA
Rfam family: Bacterial small subunit ribosomal RNA
Source: RNAcentral